CCUACGGGAGGCUGCAGUCGAGAAUCAUUCGCAAUGGGCGAAAGCCUGACGAUGCGACGCCGUGUGAGCGAUGAAGGCCUUCGGGUUGUAAAGCUCUUUCGCUUGGGAACAAGAGCGGUGGACUAAUAAUCUGCCAAUUUGAGGGUACCAGGUAAAGAAGCACCGGCUAACUCCGUGCCAGCAGCUGCGGUAAUACGGAGGGUGCAAGCAUUAAUCGGAUUUAUUGGGCGUAAAGGGCGCGUAGGCGGAUUGGUAAGUCAGAUGUGAAAGCCCGGGGCUCAACCCCGGAAUGGCAUUUGAAACUGUCGGUCUCGAGGAUGGACGGCGAAAUCGGAAUUCCACGUGUAGCGGUGAAAUGCGUAGAUAUGUGGAAGAACACCUGUGGCGAAAGCGGAUUUCGAGUUUAUACCUGACGCUGAGGCGCGAAAGCAAGGGGAGCA
This 440-nucleotide ribosomal RNA is filed under the name uncultured bacterium. RNAcentral's name for it is "partial 16S ribosomal RNA". It matches the Rfam family "Bacterial small subunit ribosomal RNA", at positions 338 to 770 of the family's 1533-position model. The record is from RNAcentral.